RNAcentral lists this ribosomal RNA (275 nucleotides) under uncultured bacterium. RNAcentral describes it as "partial 16S ribosomal RNA". It matches the Rfam family "Bacterial small subunit ribosomal RNA", at positions 338 to 628 of the family's 1533-position model. The record is from RNAcentral.
CCUACGGGGGCUGCAGUGGGGAAUAUUGGGCAAUGGGGGAAACCCUGACCCAGCGACGUCGCGUGAGGGAAGAAGGUCUUCGGAUUGUAAACCUUUGUCAACAGGGAAGAAGCAAGUGACGGUACCUGAAGAGGAAGCCACGGCUAACUACGUGCCAGCAGCCGCGGUAAUACGUAGGUGGCGAGCGUUAUCCGGAAUUACUGGGUGUAAAGGGUGUGUAGGCGGGGAUGCAAGUCAGAUGUGAAAUCCAUGGGCUCAACCUAUGGUGUGCAUUU